This 929-nucleotide long non-coding RNA is filed under the name Helianthus annuus (common sunflower). Its description in RNAcentral is "hypothetical non coding rna". Lineage: Eukaryota; Viridiplantae; Streptophyta; Magnoliopsida; Asterales; Asteraceae. The record is from RNAcentral.
AACCCUACCUCCACCUCUCAACCACCGUCUCCACCCUCCACUGCCUCAAACCACCGCUUCCACCCUCCACCACCUCUAAUCAUAGCCUCCACACAAAACCUGUUUCAAAAAGCAUUAGCCAUGGCAUUGAACACCUCUGUCAUCAUCUUCCUUAAGCCACCAUCGCCAAUUGAACACCUUUUAUUAGACUCGUGGUUUCAAACUUGAAGAACCAAUUAUUUUUAUUUCAUGAAGCUGAAGACGAAUACGAUAUCGAUCGGUUACCCAAGUGUACAGUGGUGGUAACAUCAGGUCUGACGCCCAUCGCAUGAACCCAUCACAGUUUGGUCGGAAAGUGUUGCCUGCAGUUGUGGUAGUGGUGGUUGGUUAUAGAAAGAUGGUGGUGAGUUGAAGAAAGAGUGAUCGGUGAUUUUUUGGGGAUCUAUUAACCAAUUUUUGCCUACCACCAUGUAUGCAGCCCAACACCAUCUUAUGUCACAACUUGCAACAACUUACCACCGCCAAACCCCCUAAACUUAAAGAAUAAACAGAUCUAUAGAAGUUAUAAGAGAGAAGUUAUAGUGAUGGGUGUGGCGGAACUGUUCGUCGGAGGUGGUGGGUGUAGCGAAAUUGUUCGCCGGAGGUGGGAUGGUUGUUGAUACUUCCGCGACUGCAGGGAUUUGUGGAGAUGUCUGCUGCUAACUGCAACUCGCUGCCACCACCUCACCCCGACUUCCAAUUUUAAAGGGUUGUCGAUGGUGACGAUGUUGUGGUGAUGUUUGGUGGUGUUGUUGGUUCGAUAGUGACCAGAACCGGUGGUGGAUGGUGGUACGUGCUAGGUGGGGUUAAGAAGAUGAAGAAGAGGAUGGUGGGUCCCAAUUUUUAUAUUUAAAUAAUAGUUGUGCCCCGCCCCCUCUUGUCUUUAUAAAUGAUUAAUUUAUGUUUUAUUU